Molecule: transfer RNA, 64 nt
Filed under: Bactrocera nigrotibialis
Lineage: Eukaryota; Metazoa; Arthropoda; Insecta; Diptera; Tephritidae
Description: tRNA-Cys
Source: RNAcentral
GGCUUUAUAGUCAAUAAUGACAUUAGACUGCAAUUCUAAAGGAGUAACAAGUUUACUAAGGCUU